AGCGACUGGAUAACCUACAACCAAACAAUCCCCUCGCCUUUUACUAGGGGAUUCCGUGUAGGUUGUUCAAUGAAAGUCGCAUUCUUAAUCUUUGGGCUUACACUUCGCUUCGAGCAAGUAC
This 121-nucleotide small nuclear RNA is filed under the name Collybiopsis luxurians FD-317 M1. RNAcentral's name for it is "Gymnopus luxurians FD-317 M1 U5 spliceosomal RNA". It matches the Rfam family "U5 spliceosomal RNA". Rfam says of the family: U5 RNA is a component of both types of known spliceosome. The precise function of this molecule is unknown, though it is known that the 5' loop is required for splice site selection and p220 binding, and that both the 3' stem-loop and the Sm site are important for Sm protein binding and cap methylation. The record is from Rfam by way of RNAcentral. Lineage: Eukaryota; Fungi; Basidiomycota; Agaricomycetes; Agaricales; Omphalotaceae.